AGCGUAGACGUUCUUCUCAGCUGGAAAUGUCAUUGGAAAUUAGUCUUGUUUAUUUCGAAAUCUAUUUAAGAAUGACUUACCCCAUGUCCGGCAUUUCUUCUCGAUGGUGUCAACUUUAAUAAGCUUUCAUCAAAAAUGUGCCUGGAUUUUCUGCGUCCACAUCCGAAGAAAUGGCGUAGAAAUAACGGUACGGCUUCCCUGCACAAACAAAUAAUUGAUCUGUGGCGUUUCGCAGCCCAGCGGGCAAAGUUCGUCCGGUUUGAUGUACAUUGAUGAGCCACCGUUCAUCCAUUUGGCUUCAGAUAACGAAUGAGCCGUCGAUGUACAUGCAGUCCAACAUUUUAGCAUUGGCGUAGCAGCAGAUGUCGACAAUCAGGUGAUCGUCAGCUUCGAAUGCGUUGACA
This is a long non-coding RNA of Daphnia pulicaria, 404 nucleotides long. RefSeq lists it as uncharacterized. The transcript has 4 exons. The record is from RefSeq and is a predicted model, not a curated record. Lineage: Eukaryota; Metazoa; Arthropoda; Branchiopoda; Diplostraca; Daphniidae.